RNAcentral lists this unclassified non-coding RNA (334 nucleotides) under soil metagenome. Its description in RNAcentral is "partial contains 5.8S ribosomal RNA, internal transcribed spacer 2, and large subunit ribosomal RNA". The stretch from base 1 to 120 matches the Rfam family "5.8S ribosomal RNA", at positions 35 to 154 of the family's 154-position model. The record is from RNAcentral.
GAUGAAGAACGUAGCGAAAUGCGAUACGUAAUGUGAAUUGCAGAAUUCAGUGAAUCAUCGAAUCUUUGAACGCACAUUGCGCCCGCCAGCACUCUGGCGGGCAUGCCUGUUCGAGCGUCAUUUCAACCAUCAAGCCCCAGGCUUGCGUUGGAGCCCUGCGGCUGCCGCAGUCUCCUAAAAGCAGUGGCGGGCUCGCUAUCACACCGAGUGCAGUAGAUUACUCUUCGCUCAGGGCGUGCAGCGGGUUCCGGCCGUGAAACCCCCUACUUUUAAAGGUUGACCUCGGAUCAGGUAGGAAUACCCGCUGAACUUAAGCAUAUCAAUAAGCGGAGGA